UCCGUAGGUGGAUAAUUAAGUCAGAGGUGAAAUCCUGCAGCUCAACUGUAGAAUUGCCUUUGAUACUGGUUAUCUUGAGUUAUUAUGAAGUAGUUAGAAUAUGUAGUGUAGCGGUGAAAUGCAUAGAUAUUACAUAGAAUACCAAUUGCGAGGGCAGAUUACUAAUAACCAACUGACACUGAUGGACGAAAGCGUGGGGAGCGAACAGGAUUAGAUACCCUGGUAGUCC
Molecule: ribosomal RNA, 229 nt
Filed under: uncultured bacterium
Lineage: Bacteria
Description: partial 16S ribosomal RNA
Rfam family: Bacterial small subunit ribosomal RNA
Source: RNAcentral